GCCUACGGCCAUACCACCCUGAGAACGCCCGAUCUCGUCUGAUCUCGGAAGCGAAGCAGGGUCGGGCCCGGUUAGUACUUGGAUGGGAGACCGUUAGUACUGGGAUGGGAGACCGCCUGGGAAUACCGGGUGCUGUAGGCU
Molecule: ribosomal RNA, 141 nt
Filed under: Apaloderma vittatum (bar-tailed trogon)
Lineage: Eukaryota; Metazoa; Chordata; Aves; Trogoniformes; Trogonidae
Source: RNAcentral